UGCAGAAUCUCGUGAAUCAUUGAGUCUUUGAACGCAAGUUGUGCCCGAGGCCUUGUGGCCGAGGGCACGCCUGCUUGGGCGUCA
Molecule: ribosomal RNA, 84 nt
Filed under: Alpinia galanga (greater galangal)
Lineage: Eukaryota; Viridiplantae; Streptophyta; Magnoliopsida; Zingiberales; Zingiberaceae
Description: partial 5.8S ribosomal RNA
Rfam family: 5.8S ribosomal RNA
About the family: 5.8S ribosomal RNA (5.8S rRNA) is a component of the large subunit of the eukaryotic ribosome.
Source: RNAcentral